UUUACUAUCCAGGGCGAGAUAAGAAUUUUUAUGCCCUUAUAUAUAAAAUAACUAGAAAAUCAAAAGUACAGUGAAUUUUAUAAUCAAACAAACAAUACAAACAAAACCUACAAAAAUCACCUAAAACAAUGUUUUCGAACAUUUUUUGUAGCAAAAACAAUUCAUACUUUACAAUUAAUCAAUAUUUUGUAAAAAUUCACUUUCAAUACUUAAAAUUGGUAUACAUUCAAUUUUUCUUGAGUCAUAAUACUUCUUAUACGAUUUCAAGAGCUUCAAUUUUGAAAAACUUCUUUCCGGAGAAGCAGCCGUAACCAACACCUUCAACAAUAUCCUACAUACAACCAAAACAUUAAGAAAUAUAUUCAUUCUUCUUGUAUACUCCAUUGUUUGAAUAGAUUUAUAAUGUUUUUCACUUUUCACUUUUGUAUGCUUCAUAUAACAACAUUUUAUUAAAACUUGUAACUCUAUCAAUAAAUCAUUUCCAUCAAUAUCACAUUCACUAUUUGUCAAAUUGGACUCAAGAUUUAAAUAAUAUUUUUUAAUUCAUCAUCAAAUAAAGAAACUAAUUUGGAACCAUUAAAUAAAAAACCAAAUAUAGAUUCAAAAUCAUUUUUUUCAAAAUAAUUAGAAAUAUCAACCGAAUCAUUGGAAGUACUUGGUGGAAUAUUAAAGUUAUCAACCAGAUUAUUUUCACUAAUAUUUUGAUUUCUAACAACAAAUUUAUUCAAAGACCCUCUUAAAUGAUUAGCCUCUUCUUGUUCAUUUUUUUUUCUAUUUUGAGCAUGUAAUGGUUGUUUUCUGGAAAAAUAUUUAAAACUCAACAAAUCUAGUUAUAAACACUAAACAAACAAAGAUAUAACCUGAACAAGAAGUCAAGUACACAAGGCAGUAGAUUUUGAGCAAACCAUGAUGUCAACUUUCAAUACAAAGCAGCCUUCUAAUUAACAUUACAGAAACAAAAAAAACAAAAACAAAAAAAUUAGAAAGGACCAAUGGAACUUGAGUAAUUUGUAAGCAAGUCUGAAAUUUACCUGAAGUAAACAACAAAUAGAGGAUAAAGAUUAAAGGAAAUAGAUUUCGAACUUAAUCAGAAGCAAAACCCAAGCUCAAACAAAGGUGAAAAUUCCUUUUCACUGAAAAAUCGAAAUCAGAAACAGCAACUAAUGUUAAAUCAUAAUAAAAAAAAUCGAAAUUAAUCAAAUACAAUGAAACACAUAAAUCAUAAUCAGAUAGUGAAAUCGAAAUCAGAAGAAAGGAAGUAGAGAACUAGAUAAGUCACCCAAAUCAGAAGAAGACAAAAUCGAAUCCAACAGUUCUUUUUCAUCCAACUUUCAGAUAUGUGAUAUGCCUCCUUAUCCUGUAUUCAAACUAAUCACUUAAUCAGAUAAUGAACAAAUGAUGAUUGAUUUCAGGAAGUUUAGAAAUAAAUAAGAAACAAAUGAUGGAAAAACGAACUCACCGAUUUACAGACUCAAUCUCCCAAAUCAAUUGAACAGUUGAACUUUUGAGACACUUUCUUCCGUUUUCCUCUUGCUUCAGGGCAGAAAAAAAAGAACCCAAUCAAGCACAGCGAAUCGCUGAUCGAACUCCGAGCGAGAAGUUUGAAAAAAAAGUCGAUUGAAUCAAACCCAAUCAAGCAGGCUAGUAGCAUUAGUUGAUUUACAGCAAUUGAGAAUAAGAUAGGGUUAAAAAUCGGACCAAGAGAAAUAGAUAGUUCAGCGAUUUGGCAGCCUCGAAACACAACAAUACGAUUUUCAGUCGUUACCGAUUUGACGAUUGAAGUUCUCAAGAUAUUUGGCGCUCAAUCAUAUCUUCCGCCUUCAGCAUCCAGACGCGUUUCUUCUUGGACUGGAGUACCUGGACUUCAC
This 1868-nucleotide long non-coding RNA is filed under the name Lactuca sativa (garden lettuce). RNAcentral's name for it is "long non-coding RNA (LSAT_LNC006198)". Lineage: Eukaryota; Viridiplantae; Streptophyta; Magnoliopsida; Asterales; Asteraceae. The record is from RNAcentral.